GGAACGAACGCUGGCGGCAGGCUUAACACAUGCAAGUCGAACGGGUGUCGCAAGACAUCAGUGGCAGACGGGUGAGUAACACGUGGGAACCUUCCUCGGGGUACGGAACAACGCAGGGAAACUUGCGCUAAUACCGUAUACGUCCGUGAGGAGAAAGAUUUAUCGCCCUGAGACGGGCCCGCGUCGGAUUAGCUAGUUGGUGGGGUAACGCCUACCAAGGCGACGAUCCGUAGCUGAUCUUAGAGGAUGAUCAGCCACACUGGGACUGAGACACGGCCCAGACUCCUACGGGAGGCAGCAGUGGGGAAUCUUGGACAAUGGGCGCAAGCCUGAUCCAGCCAUGCCGCGUGAGUGAAGAAGGUCUUCGGAUUGUAAAGCUCUUUUACCAGGGACGAUAAUGACGGUACCUGGAGAAUAAGCCCCGGACAAACUUCGUGCCAGCAGCCGC
This 448-nucleotide ribosomal RNA is filed under the name uncultured soil bacterium. RNAcentral's name for it is "bacterial SSU rRNA". It matches the Rfam family "Bacterial small subunit ribosomal RNA", at positions 27 to 518 of the family's 1533-position model. The record is from RNAcentral.